GUAGGUGACCUGCAGAUGGAUCAUUUCGAUGAAAACCUUUUUUCUUGAGGUGUGGCUCGCACCUGUCUAACUAAAAUUGAGCUACCUUUUUUUAACACGGUUGCAUCGGUUGGCCUGUCAAACAGUGUGGCGGCAAGAAUUUAUUUUCCUGCCUGCCAAGCUAGGCGACGGACCGACACUUAAUCAACACUUUUGAUGAUCUAGGAUUUGAAUGUAUAAAAGUUACUUUUUUAUAACUAAAAAACAACUUUUGGCAACGGAUCUCUUGGUUCUCCCAUCGACGAAGAACGCAGCGAAUUGCGAUAAGUAAUGUGAAUUGCAGAAGUGAAUCAUCGAAUCUUUGAACGCACCUUGCGCUCCCGGCAGAUCUAAUCUGGGGAGCAUGCCUGUUUGAGGGCCGCGAAUUGUUUCGAACGACAGCUUUUUUCACGAAAAGUUGGCGGAUCGGUAUUGAGGGUUUUGCCAUUUACCAUGGCUCCCUCGAAAUGCAUUAGCGCAUCCAUUUGAUAGGCAAGACGGACGAAAGCCCGCUUUUCGCUCUCUCUUCCCUGCCGGGUUUUGAUAAUAUCAGGACUUCGGAGAGGUUGAGAUGGGUAAGAGCUGGACGCAACGACUUGCUGUUUGGAGUGCUUCUGAAACCCGCCCCAUGCCAAAUCCACCCUUUUGGGAAAUUUGGAAGGGAUUUAAUAAUUCAUCGGCCUCAGAUUGGUAUGACUACCCCCUGAACUUUAGCAUAUCAAUAAAGCGG
Molecule: ribosomal RNA, 748 nt
Filed under: uncultured Ustilaginales
Lineage: Eukaryota; Fungi; Basidiomycota; Ustilaginomycetes; Ustilaginales
Description: eukaryotic LSU rRNA
Rfam family: 5.8S ribosomal RNA (bases 246-400)
Source: RNAcentral